CUCUCUGUCCUUUCUCCUCCUCCUCCUCCUUCUGAUCUCACCCUUCUUUUUCUCCCUCCCCUUCUCUCUCCUAUCUCCUCCUCCUCUCUGUCCUAUCUAUCUAUCUUUCUUCGGGGGUUGCCUACAUUCUUCUUCCCCUCCAAGUUUUUCUGUUGAGGGACCUCCUGACAAACAUACAGAUUGGUGACAAACAUGCAGGAGGUCCCUCUUAGCAUUUUUUUACUAACCAGUGUGUGAGUUUCUCUCCCCAGAUACCUCCUGCCUUACCUAAGAGGGCUGCUGGACUUGCUGCCAGCCAACCUCCAGAACUGGUGCUUCAACGACAUCAAGCAGAUUCAGACAGGAUGGACCAGAGAUGACGGGAGGCAGAUCCAGGACUAGUGCAUGACUCGAGAGACCGUGCAAUUAACACAAGAGCCAUCUCUCCAAGACCCCCGAUCUUAUGAAAGAUCAGAUCAAGAAAGCAGACAAGGAACAGCCCAUGAAGUGAAUCCAGAUUAUGGCAGAGGGGACGAUUAUUACAGUGACGCAAAAGGUUUCUCUGGAUCUGGAGCUGCAUGUUUCUGAUCUGCUGUUAUCGGCCUCAGUGACCUCCAAAGUCUUCAUGUUCUCUCCUUCCUCUCUACCCUCAACCCAGCCAGAAGUUUUUUUUAAACUUCCCAACAUCUUUUUUUCCUCCACACGGGUACCGCAUGCUUGAUCUGAUCAUACAGCAAAAAGAGAGAUCCUCAAAUAAAAAACAAAAGAACACAAUAGAACUGUAUCUGUUUGUUUAAAAGUGUAACAUAAUGCACCCUUCCUUUUAUAUUUAUUUUUGGAGAGCAUGUGUUAUGGUUCUCAAACUAAAUCAGUUUUAAAAAUGUGCUUUCAAACCACUGGUUUCUCACAAACACCUGGACUCCAUCUUAAAACUGCACAGCAUUUGAACAUACUGCUGGUUGUGAGUUUACUUGGAGUAAAUACACUAAAGUUAACCGUUUGUAUCUGAAAUUCAGUCAUAAUGUGCACCAACUAGUGUCUGUUGUGGUUGACAAUAAAGUGGCUAUUCUGUUCUAUUCUGAUUGAUCCCUGCUCAUGCUGCAUCCUUGUCCUAGAUGACAGGACGCAUUCAGUCCCUGGAUGUGUUCCAGGCAGAAAAGUGAGUUUUUGUUACAAUAGGAGGAGCAGUUUAAGUGCUUCGGUCCUGUAGAUUGUUUCAGAAUGAAAACUGCAGAUUUGAAAUCCUCAGUGUGUGUGUGGUCAGUCAUUAGAGAUGCUCCCAUCCUGAGCUGUGCAACAUAACCAACUGUUAUGCAUUGUUGCCUGUUUUGGUUCUCCCUUGUGUCGUAUGCUGUUCACUACAGUUCAACACUUUCAUUUAGCAGACGCUUUUAUCCAAAGCGCCGCAUCUGAAGUAGAUACAGCACACAGUGAUGCCUCUGAACACAUCAUCAGUGAUGCUUCCUGGACUGUUUCGGCUCUUUCAACAUCACACUCCGUCACCCAGGACACCCAGGCAGAGUAGAUCAGACCCGGGUUGUGUCCAGGUGUCGCAGCGCCCCCAACAGGUACCUAUUACAUAACACAUUGACUUAAUGUCUGUCAAAGUACAGAUACUAAUGUGCCUCAAAUCUGACACGUGUCAGGUUCCUGUCUGAAACAAUAAUGCUCAGUUUGCACUGAAUGUAAUUCUGGGAUUUUGCAGAAACAUUCUUACACCUCCUUCAGUCCUGUUUUCUGCCCACAGCUGCUGGUUAUCAGACUAUUUCCUCUGACUUUAAUAAACACCUGCAGCAUCACACGUAGCAGCAAAAAC
Acanthochromis polyacanthus (spiny chromis) is the source of this 1795-nucleotide long non-coding RNA. RefSeq lists it as uncharacterized. Lineage: Eukaryota; Metazoa; Chordata; Actinopteri; Pomacentridae. The record is from RefSeq and is a predicted model, not a curated record. The transcript is spliced from 4 exons.